UACAGAGGAUGCAAGCGUUAUCCGGAAUGAUUGGGCGUAAAGCGUUCUGUAGGUGGCUUUUAAGUCCGCCGUCAAAUCCCAGGGCUCAACUCUGGACAGGCGGUGGAAACUACCAAGCUGGAGUACGGUAGGGGCAGAGGGAAUUUCCGGUGGAGCGGUGAAAUGCGUAGAGAUCGGAAAGAACACCAACGGCGAAAGCAACUCUGCUGGGCCGACACUGACACUGAGAGACGAAAGCUA
Molecule: ribosomal RNA, 240 nt
Filed under: uncultured bacterium
Lineage: Bacteria
Description: partial 16S ribosomal RNA
Rfam family: Bacterial small subunit ribosomal RNA
Source: RNAcentral